CUUUAACAAUACUAAUACUUUUCAUGGAAGCCUGUGUGAAUCAGGCACUGUGCCGCAACUGUGACCCCGAUAUAGAUCGGGGAAGUCAGAGCUUUGAAAGGUGUUUUUAGUCCCGAGCAGGAAACAGACCUUACUGGUGAAU
Molecule: small RNA, 142 nt
Filed under: Microgenomates group
Lineage: Bacteria
Source: RNAcentral